GCGGCGGGAGCGGUGCUGCGGCGCUGCCUCAGAGGGACUGGACCGGGACUGGGACCGGCCUCAGCCUCUCCCGGCGCGGCCAGCGAGAAUCCCUGCGUCCCUCAUGCGCACCAAACCGGUGCUGGUGGAGGCGGCUCCACAGCUGCGCCUUCCCCCGCCAUGUUCUGGCGAGGCUCCCUCGGGGCCGGUGCCGCUCUCCGCCGGCGCUGAGCGGCUGCGGCGGGAGGAACCGAGCGAGCCUGGCAGUGGACAAAAAAUGAAGUGACCAGGAUGGUAUGAGUUCAGAAAUGCAGGGUGAUCCUUCAGGAGGGGGCUGCCCAAGCAAGCUUCAGCCACCUUGCUGACUAGGCAGACCAGAGGAGCCCAGCCCAGGUGAGCUGCACUGCUGGGAGGUGCCAGCCCUGCCCAGAUUAUGCCUUGAGCUGCAGAAUGUCUGACAAACUGAGAACUGCUUGGCAGCAUCCACGUCUGAUGGCUUGGAGAUUCCUGAAACUUGAUCAUCUGUGUUUUCUCUGCAUGGUUAAGAAGAAUUUAAAUAAAAAAAAAAAACUAAAUAAAGAUGCCACCUACAAGACUGAAA
This is a long non-coding RNA of Melospiza georgiana, 580 nucleotides long. RefSeq lists it as uncharacterized. The transcript has 4 exons. NCBI's taxonomy places the organism in Eukaryota, Metazoa, Chordata, Aves, Passeriformes, Passerellidae. The record is from RefSeq and is a predicted model, not a curated record.